GCCGAUAUAGCUUAGUUGAUAAAGCAGCGUAUUCGUAAUACGAAGAGAUGGGUUCAAUUCCUAUUAUCGGCA
Molecule: transfer RNA, 72 nt
Filed under: Candidatus Westeberhardia cardiocondylae
Lineage: Bacteria; Pseudomonadati; Pseudomonadota; Gammaproteobacteria; Enterobacterales; Enterobacteriaceae
Description: transfer RNA Threonine
Rfam family: tRNA
About the family: Transfer RNA (tRNA) molecules are approximately 80 nucleotides in length. Their secondary structure includes four short double-helical elements and three loops (D, anti-codon, and T loops).
Source: RNAcentral